UUAAACUAGGGAUUAGAUACCCUAUUAUUAAAAUUUAAAUUAAUAAUACUAAAAUAGUAAAUAAUUAUUUAUUGAAACUUAAAUAAUUUGGCGGUAUUUUAGUUCAUUUAGAGGAAUCUGUUUAAUAAUUGAUAAUCCACGAAUAAAUUUACUUAAUUUUUUAUUUUGUAUAUCGUUGUUAUAAAAAUAUUUUUCAAUAAUAAUAAUAUUUAAAAAUUUUAAUUAAAAAUUAAAUCAGAUCAAGAUGCAGAUUAUAAUUAAGAAUAUAAUGGAUUACAAUAAAUUUAUUUAAAUGAAUAUUAAUUUGUAAGAUUUAAUUGAAGGUGGAUUUAAAUGUAA
RNAcentral lists this ribosomal RNA (339 nucleotides) under Spodoptera latifascia. RNAcentral describes it as "partial 12S ribosomal RNA". The record is from RNAcentral. Lineage: Eukaryota; Metazoa; Arthropoda; Insecta; Lepidoptera; Noctuidae.